This 1397-nucleotide long non-coding RNA is filed under the name Homo sapiens (human). RNAcentral's name for it is "non-protein coding lnc-FAM181B-6:1". Lineage: Eukaryota; Metazoa; Chordata; Mammalia; Primates; Hominidae. The record is from RNAcentral.
CAUUUUACAUGCUAAAACAUAAGCCAUUUUUUGUUUAUAGAAUUCAGAAAUCUGAUGGCACCUGCCCAAUUACUCAAGGUGAAUGGCCUUGAAAUUGAUCAAUGUCCAAUGAGUUAUUAAAAAUUGAGCAAUGAUUGGUGGAAGCAAGAGAAAAUAUAAUUGAUGCUCAAGAUGUCUGAAUUAUAAAUGCAAUUGUAUUCACUCAACACAAUUCCCUAAGUCCCUGGGAAGGUUGAGAACAUUUGAUUUGGAAGCAGAAAAAUUGGACCCAAAUGAGCGUUCUAACCUUCACUAGCUAUGGGAGAAGGCCUGCCUGAGUGUGUUUUCUCAUCUACAAAGAAAAAAAAGUAAUAGAGAGCAUUGGGCCAGCGUUCCAGGGGCUCUGGGAGUGGCUGCCAGGUGAGUUGAACAGUCCGAUUUUCAGUGUGGUCCACAUUUAGACCAUAAAGAGAGGAUAACUUUGGAUGUAGUUUAGCAGUUUUCUAAUAAUCUGUGAUAUAGGUGACAAUCAUCCUGUUUUCAGGGCUGUGCUAAAGCCGCUUGUGUGCAUGUCUUCCCAAAUUCAUACUCAGUGAUAUCUAGUUGGUAGCUUGAAAUGAGCCAUGGUAGGAGCAUUUGCACCAUAUUGAAAAUCAGCACCUCAUCGCCUACAGAGGUCCAGGUGAUCCUGCCUCAGCCUCCUGAGUAUUUGGGAUUACAGGUGCCUGCCACCAUGCUCGGCUAAUUUUUUGUAUUUUUAGUAGAGAUGGGGUUUCACUAUUUUGGCCAGGCUGGUCUUGAACUCCUGACCUCGUGAUCCACCUGCCUUGGUUUAGUCAGCCACCUUAAAGCCUGUCCUCAAUUAGAUCUUUUGCAGUAGUCCAAGAAAGAAAUGAUGGUAGCUUGACCUGGGUUUCUAAUAGUGGAAAUGGUAAGUAGAAAUUUUUGUAUUGUUCAUGGAAAACUCUGAAGGACUAUAUAGUUUAUCAUAGCUGGAUCCCCAACUGCCAUGUUCUCCUAAGGGUCAAGGAAUAGGUCUUUAUUUCUUGAAUCAUUUAACACUGAAAUAGAAAAGUCAUUGAAAAACAUAUUAGGAGCAAUGCUCUGUACAGUUUAAAUUUUAUUUUUAUCUUUAUGGAUUUAAGGGGUACAAGUGCAUUUUUGUUACACGGAUAUAUUGCAUAGUGGUGAUGUUUGGGCUUUUAGUGUGCCCAUCACCUAAAUAGUGUACAUUGUACCCAAUAGGUAAUUUCUCAUCCCUUACCCCCUUCCACCCCCAAGCUUUUGUAGUCUUCAGUGUCUAUUAUUCCACUCUGUAUGUUUAUGUGUAUACAUUGUUUAACUCCCACUUACAAGUGACAACAUGCAGUAUUAGACUUUCUGUUUCUGAGUUAUUUCACUUAGGAUAAUGGCCUCCA